This 21-nucleotide transfer RNA is filed under the name Odontoschisma sphagni. Its description in RNAcentral is "partial tRNA-Phe". The record is from RNAcentral. Lineage: Eukaryota; Viridiplantae; Streptophyta; Jungermanniopsida; Jungermanniales; Cephaloziaceae.
GCCGGGAUAGCUCAGUCGGUA